AAGUGAGAGGAAGACCAGUACCUAUAACUAAUGGUGAAAUCAACAGCGGUAGUAGUAACUCACACUGUCUAUCAAUGACAUUGUUAGUUACACUAGCUCAUGAAAACACUGUCUCUCCCUUGCUUCGUAUCAAAUCGCUAUCACUUAGCGAAGAUGAUGAUGGCCUUGGCAACAAUGAUUCAAAAACUAUAGCGGUAGAGGAGGAAAGUCAAAUGUUCAAUUCAUUUUCUUUCGAGGAUUAUGCAUGGAGAGUUUAUCACGAACGUCUUAUUCUUAAGGAUCCUCUUGUGAGAUACCGUGUUUGAUUAUUACUACUGUUGUUAUUGGCUUCGGUUUGGAUCGGAUCGGAGUUACCAAUUAGCAUGAGAAAUGGUAGAAAGUAUCAAAGUAUGUUGAUGCUUUAGUUUGUAUGGAUCUCACUCUUUUCAUUUAUUCAUUUGUUUUGGGUUUCUUUUUGGUUCAUGUUAAGGCUGCUGCUGUUUGAUUCUCCUUGUACUUUAGAAAUGGAGUGAAAUGUUA
Molecule: unclassified non-coding RNA, 519 nt
Filed under: Hevea brasiliensis (rubber tree)
Lineage: Eukaryota; Viridiplantae; Streptophyta; Magnoliopsida; Malpighiales; Euphorbiaceae
Source: RNAcentral